UCGGGAAUUUUGGGCAAUGGGCGAAAGCCUGACCCAGCAACGCCGCGUGAGGGAUGAAGUAUUUCGGUAUGUAAACCUCGAAAGAAUGGGAAGAAUAAAUGACGGUACCAUUUAUAAGCUCCGGCUAACUACGUGCCAGCAGCCGCGGUAAUACGUAGGGAGCAAGCGUUGUUCGGAUUUACUGGGCGUAAAGGGCGCGUAGGCGGCGCGGUAAGUCACUUGUGAAAUCUCUGAGCUUAACUCAGAACGGCCAAGUGAUACUGCUGUGCUAGAGUGCGGAAGAGGCAACCGGAAUUCGUGGUGUAGCGGUGAAAUGCGUAGAUAUCAAGGGGAACACCUGAGGCGAACGCGGGUUGCUGGGCCGACACUGACGCUGAUGCGCGAAAGCCAGGGGAGCAAACG
Molecule: ribosomal RNA, 402 nt
Filed under: uncultured bacterium
Lineage: Bacteria
Description: bacterial SSU rRNA
Rfam family: Bacterial small subunit ribosomal RNA
Source: RNAcentral